CCUGCAUCCUAAAUAUGUUCAUGAGUAUGGAAUCAUGUCAAAUUCAAGCACAUAUUCAUAUCGAUUCUCAAUUAACCAAUGAUGACUCCAAUGAAUAAGUAUUAGAAACUCUUUCUAAUCUCUUUUUUACUUUUAGCCAAAAUAUUUUUUUCAAGUCAUCUAGGAUUAAGAAUACGCAGGAUGUGAUCUCCUCUUACUAGGAG
Molecule: long non-coding RNA, 203 nt
Filed under: Elaeis guineensis (African oil palm)
Lineage: Eukaryota; Viridiplantae; Streptophyta; Magnoliopsida; Arecales; Arecaceae
Description: long non-coding RNA (EGUI_LNC039454)
Source: RNAcentral